Molecule: ribosomal RNA, 503 nt
Filed under: uncultured bacterium
Lineage: Bacteria
Description: partial 16S ribosomal RNA
Rfam family: Bacterial small subunit ribosomal RNA
Source: RNAcentral
AUUGAACGCUGGCGGCAGGCUUAACACAUGGAAGUCGAGCGGAGUGAUGGUGCUUGCACUAUCACUUAGCGGCGGACGGGUGAGUAAUGCUUAGGAAUCUGCCUAUUAGUGGGGGACAACAUCUCGAAAGGGAUGCUAAUACCGCAUACGUCCUACGGGAGAAAGCAGGGGAUCACUUGUGACCUUGCGCUAAUAGAUGAGCCUAAGUCGGAUUAGCUAGUUGGUGGGGUAAAGGCCUACCAAGGCGACGAUCUGUAGCGGGUCUGAGAGGAUGAUCCGCCACACUGGGACUGAGACACGGCCCAGAAUCCUACGGGAGGCAGCAGUGGGGAAUAUUGGACAAUGGGGGGAACCCUGAUCCAGCCAUGCCGCGUGUGUGAAGAAGGCCUUAUGGUUGUAAAGCACUUUAAGCGAGGAGGAGGCUCUUUUGGUUAAUACCCAAGAUGAGUGGACGUUACUCGCAGAAUAAGCACCGGCUAACUCUGUGCCAGCAGCCGCGGUAA